ACUGGCUUGGCCAAAAAGUUCGUUUGGGUUUUUCCAUAGGAUGUUACGAAAAACCUGAAUGAACUUUCGGUUCAACCCAG
RNAcentral lists this microRNA precursor (80 nucleotides) under Ovis aries (sheep). RNAcentral describes it as "miRNA (ENSOARG00000022388.1)". Lineage: Eukaryota; Metazoa; Chordata; Mammalia; Artiodactyla; Bovidae. The record is from RNAcentral.